This 1074-nucleotide long non-coding RNA is filed under the name Lactuca sativa (garden lettuce). Its description in RNAcentral is "long non-coding RNA (LSAT_LNC009415)". Lineage: Eukaryota; Viridiplantae; Streptophyta; Magnoliopsida; Asterales; Asteraceae. The record is from RNAcentral.
UUAGUUAGCUUUUAGUUCUAUUUUUCUUGUCACAAAAUGCUUAAAUAUUGAAUUUCAAAGCAAAAUAUCGAUUUCUAAUAUUUUAAAACUAACAAGACUAAUUAAAUAGUCUUCUUUCAUGGAUUACAACUCUAGAGAACAAAAAAAAAAAACUAUAAAAAAAAAAGUAUUACAACCGAUUGAACAGAAAACAAAGACUAUAACAAAGAUGAAGGAAUUACAAAGGCCCUUGAUUCUUUGAUGUUUUUACUAUUUUGCCAUUUCCUACAUUACAUCUUCUUCUAGAAAUAGUAGGCUUUUUAAUAGUAGAGAGAUCCUGUAAAAACAAAAACAAUAAAUAUUUGGUUAAUUUUCAAAAAAUAUAUAAUAAUCUUUUUUGUAUAUUUGAAUGAUAGCCAAAAAGAAGCAGCACCUUGCCACCAAUUCCCCCUUGAAGCACUGGUUCCAUUAGGAUCCUGGUUAUUCGAUGAUUCUGUUCCUGUGUACUUGCUGCAGUGCGUUGUGUCUUUUGCUAAGCCCUGAAUUUGAAAAACUAGAAUUAAACGAUAGAAGCAAUUCAACAAUUCAAUUAUUAACUCAAUCUGUUGUAAAUGGGGAUUAAAUCGUCGUUAUGAAUUGAUAGAUAGAAUCUGUCAGAAAUUAAGGUGAUGCAUGAAGAAAUAGAGGUGAUGAAUUGGAAAACAUGGAGGUGUACCGUGGAAGAAGGGCCGAAAACAGAGCCAAAACGGCCGGAGGAGGAGGAGGAGGAGCCGCCGUCCUUAGGGCCGAAGAGAGCUUCUGUGAAUGAUGAAGACGAAGGAUUUCCUGAUUCCUGCUUCUUGCUCUCCAUUAUCACUCGAUUCGUCUCUUGCUUAUAGAAAACCUAACAAAAAUGAAUCAGCUUUCUUGUGUGAUUAUCCACACAAACAAAGCGAAACUAUGCAGAGACGAGUAUAAGUUAAGAUGAAUGAAUCUCGCCGGAGAGAGUGUGGAAACGUUUGAAUUUUGAGAUUUGAGGAUGAGAGAUGGUGAGGGAGUGGAAGAGAGGAGAUCGUAAGAUUGUGGUUUGAUGGAGAGUAAUCAAACGGAUUUUCA